Xenopus laevis (African clawed frog) is the source of this 935-nucleotide long non-coding RNA. RefSeq lists it as uncharacterized. The transcript is spliced from 3 exons. NCBI's taxonomy places the organism in Eukaryota, Metazoa, Chordata, Amphibia, Anura, Pipidae. The record is from RefSeq and is a predicted model, not a curated record.
GUGUGUGCAAGUGGGUAAUCCAAGAGUUACAAUAUAUUACGUACAUUUUCUUCUCUGGGAUACAUAUGCACCAAUGACUCCCACAGAAUUCUGCAGUGGAUUAUUUAAUUUAAUUUUUUUUUUAAUAUUGCCAGAAAAAGCUGUUUUCAGAAACAGGGCCUUCUCCCUUCAUCUGCAUCAUUACAACACAUAGUAUAUACUUUCCACUUGCGGCAGAAAAUACUGUUUCUUUAUGGUAAUAAUAGGCACAAUAUGCAUUUGUAAUUUAUACAGGGUGAAAAAACAAUUCUGUCAGCUUUUGAGGUCAGCAGAAGGCUUUUUUUUUUGGAAACUAUAGGCAAACAGAUGAAUUUCUACUUAAAGCUGUGCAUAAAAGGAAAUUACAGUAUGGGGUGCAAGGGUUAAAGUUGUGGGCAUGUGUCUGGAUAUAAACACACUCUGUACACUGUAGGUGAGGAACUUAGUUCCACAAAGGUGACUAAUCCCAAGGAAGACUACAUGCCGUAUUACUUCCACACUUUUCUAUUGCUGCGUUUUCACCUCUGUUUAUUUUUUCUUUUCCUAAAAGGAAACCUCUAUACUGCAGUGCAAAAACCACCCUCCGCACAGUCCAGAUGCCUUAGGAUUUGCUUCAGAUCUGCUGUGGGUUUCUAAUUUUGAUGUAAAACAUCACAGUGGCCUUAUGUGGAAGUUAGAAGAAUUUGGUUGCUUUUCAACUUGCCAAAAAUGAUUUGCUGCUUUGAUAGAUUUAAUCAGAUUUCGGACUGUGUGAGCAGAAGAAGAACCUUCUGAAAUAGAAAAAUAUAUGUAUAAGUACAAAUCUGAAUACUGAGUUCCAUUAAACCUGGGUUCCAAGAACCAAAAGGCAUAAUACAAACAAUAAAGGUGGUCUCCAGUCAUGUAUCCCUGUUAAUUAAAAUGUCUCAUGAUUUCAA